CUUGUGGAGAGUACAAGAACUUGUGAAUAGUAUUUAAGUAAACUUAAAUACGAAAGCAUACUCGAUGAAGCAAGAA
The submitters of this non-coding RNA (76 nucleotides) gave its source as unclassified sequences. The record is from Rfam.